Molecule: transfer RNA, 81 nt
Filed under: Trametes sanguinea
Lineage: Eukaryota; Fungi; Basidiomycota; Agaricomycetes; Polyporales; Polyporaceae
Description: tRNA-Gln
Rfam family: tRNA
About the family: Transfer RNA (tRNA) molecules are approximately 80 nucleotides in length.
Source: RNAcentral
GGCGCUAUAGUGUAGUGGUUAUCACUUGGGAUUCUGACUUUCAGUGUUCCCAAAACCCAGGUUCGAGCCCUGGUAGCGCCU